CGCGUGGGUAACCUGCCCUAUACACACGGAUAACGUACCGAAAGGUACGCUAAUACGAGAUAACAUAUUUUUAUCGCAUGGUAAGAAUAUCAAAGCUCCGGCGGUAUAGGAUGGACCCGCGUCUGAUUAGCUAGUUGGUAAGGUAACGGCUUACCAAGGCGACGAUCAGUAGCCGACCUGAGAGGGUGAUCGGCCACAUUGGAACUGAGACACGGUCCAAACUCCUACGGGAGGCAGCAGUGGGGAAUAUUGCACAAUGGGCGAAAGCCUGAUGCAGCAACGCCGCGUGAACGACGAAGGCCUUCGGGUCGUAAAGCUCUGUCCUCAAGGAAGAUAAUGACGGUACUUGAGGAGGAAGCCCCGGCUAACUACGUGCCAGCAGCCGCGGUAAUACGUAGGGGGCUAGCGUUAUCCGGAAUUACUGGGCGUAAAGGGUGCGUAGGUGGUUUCUUAAGUCAGAGGUGAAAGGCUACGGCUCAACCGUAGUAAGCCUUUGAAACUGAGAAACUUGAGUGCAGGAGAGGAGAGUAGAAUUCCUAGUGUAGCGGUGAAAUGCGUAGAUAUUAGGAGGAAUACCAGUUGCGAAGGCGGCUCUCUGGACUGUAACUGACACUGAGGCACGAAAGCGUGGGGAGCAAACAGGAUUAGAUACCCUGGUAGUCCACGCCGUAAACGAUGAGUACUAGCUGUCGGAGGUUACCCCCUUCGGUGGCGCAGCUAACGCAUUAAGUACUCCGCCUGA
This 742-nucleotide ribosomal RNA is filed under the name uncultured Bacillota bacterium. RNAcentral's name for it is "bacterial SSU rRNA". It matches the Rfam family "Bacterial small subunit ribosomal RNA", at positions 114 to 876 of the family's 1533-position model. Lineage: Bacteria; Bacillati; Bacillota. The record is from RNAcentral.